This 358-nucleotide unclassified non-coding RNA is filed under the name soil metagenome. RNAcentral describes it as "partial contains 5.8S ribosomal RNA, internal transcribed spacer 2, and large subunit ribosomal RNA". The stretch from base 1 to 121 matches the Rfam family "5.8S ribosomal RNA", at positions 35 to 154 of the family's 154-position model. The record is from RNAcentral.
GAUGAAGAACGCAGCGAAAUGCGAUAAGUAAUGCGAAUUGCAGAAUUCCAGUGAGUCAUCGAAUCUUUGAACGCACAUUGCGCCCGCUGGUAUUCCGGCGGGCAUGCCUGUUCGAGCGUCAUUUCAACCCUCAAGCUCUCCGGAGUUUGGUGUUGGGGCGCCUGGGGCUUUUCGACCUCAGGGCCCUCAAGUCCAUCGGCGGGACCGCCAGGACACUGAGCGCAGUAGUAUUAUUUCGCUCGGUAGGAUCUUCCACGGCGGGUCGAUCUGGCCGCUAAACCCCCCAAUUCUCACCAAAGGUUGACCUCGGAUCAGGUAGGAAUACCCGCUGAACUUAAGCAUAUCAAUAAGCGGAGGA